UGUUCUGCCCUUUGGCCUCACCCUGGCCUUACAUCGCUGAAGGCACUGUGUUCGGCUACAAGUCUGCCAGUCGGAGGCUCCUAGGGCCUCCUGGGGCUGGGCCUCGUCCAUUGUGGGGUAGGCUCCAGAGGAACAUGGGCGGAGCGAGUGACUGUGAGGGAUCUGUAGUGUCCCGAGAGCUGAGGCUGCAGUGUGGCUGAGCUGUGUCCUUGAACUAUUGCCUUUAAUUCCAGGGAAGACCUCGUGUUGAUGCGCCCUCCUCCAGGCUGAGCUCCUGUCAUGGCCCCACUCCUCCCCGACCCUCCAAGCCCCUGUUCUGCCCUUUGGCCUCACCCUGGCCUUACAUCGCUGAAGGCACUGUGUUCGGCUACAAGUCUGCCAGUCGGAGGCUCCUAGGGCCUCCUGGGGCUGGGCCUCGUCCAUUGUGGGGUAGGCUCCAGAGGAACAUGGGCGGAGGCAGCGUUUGAUGAGUCACCACCUGCCAAGACUGACUUUUUCUU
Molecule: long non-coding RNA, 500 nt
Filed under: Homo sapiens (human)
Lineage: Eukaryota; Metazoa; Chordata; Mammalia; Primates; Hominidae
Description: non-protein coding lnc-NR2F6-1:2
Source: RNAcentral